UAUUGCAUUUGCCAAAGGGACGUUUUCAUUAAUCAUGAACGAAAGUUAGGGGAUCGAAGAUGAUCAGAUACCGUCGUAGUCUUAACCAUAAACUAUGCCGACUAGGGAUCGGGUGUUGUCCUUUUUUUGGCGCACUCGGCACCUUACGAGAAAUCAAAGUUUUUGGGUUCUGGGGGGAGUAUGGUCGCAAGGCUGAAACUUAAAGGAAUUGACGGAAGGGCACCACCAGGAGUGGAGCCUGCGGCUUAAUUUGACUCAACACGGGGAAACUCACCAGGUCCAGACACAAUAAGGAUUGACAGAUUGAGAGCUCUUUCUUGAUUUUGUGGGUGGUGGUGCAUGGCCGUUCUUAGUUGGUGGAGUGAUUUGUCUGCUUAAUUGCGAUAACGAACGAGACCUUAACCUACUAAAUAGUGCUGCUAGCUUUUGCUGGUAUAGUCACUUCUUAGAGGGACUACCGAUUUCAAGUCGGUGGAAGUUUGAGGCAAUAACAGGUCUGUGAUGCCCUUAGACGUUCUGGGCCGCACGCGCGCUACACUGACGGAGCCAGCGAGUAUUAACCUUGGCCGAGAGGUCUGGGAAAUCUUGUGAAACUCCGUCGUGCUGGGGAUAGAGCAUUGUAAUUAUUGCUCUUCACGAGGAAUUCCUAAU
This 651-nucleotide ribosomal RNA is filed under the name Yamadazyma scolyti. Its description in RNAcentral is "SSU rRNA". It matches the Rfam family "Eukaryotic small subunit ribosomal RNA", at positions 947 to 1618 of the family's 1831-position model. Lineage: Eukaryota; Fungi; Ascomycota; Pichiomycetes; Serinales; Debaryomycetaceae. The record is from RNAcentral.